Molecule: ribosomal RNA, 382 nt
Filed under: uncultured bacterium
Lineage: Bacteria
Description: bacterial SSU rRNA
Rfam family: Bacterial small subunit ribosomal RNA
Source: RNAcentral
UGGGGAAUAUUGGACAAUGGGGGGAAACCCUGAUCCAGCAAUGCCGCGUGAGUGAAGAAGGCCUUAGGGUUGUAAAGCUCUUUCGUCCGCGAAGAUAAUGACGGUAGCGGGAGAAGAAGCCCCGGCUAACUCCGUGCCAGCAGCCGCGGUAAUACGGCGGGGGCUAGCGUUGUUCGGAAUUACUGGGCGUAAAGCGUACGUAGGCGGAUGCGCAAGUUGGGGGUGAAAUCCCGGGGCUUAACCUCGGAAUUGCCCUCAAAACUUCACGUCUUGAGACCGAGAGAGGUAAGGGGAAUUCCUCGUGUAGAGGUGAAAUUCGUAGAUAUUAGGAAGAACACCAGUGGCGAAGGCGCCUUACUGGCUCGGUACUGACGCUGAGGUA